UCCUGUUUCCUACUUGUUGUUUUUCGUUUAUGGUCUCUUUAUUCAUUACUCUUCUUUUUAUUACUCUUGGCUGCUUUGAUUCCUUUUAUACAACUUCCUAUCGACUGAGUUUUUUGUUGUCUUUCCUUUUUUCACAGGUUUUCUUUGACAUACGUGUCUUGUUUUCAGAGAGAUGUAGCUCACACUUCUCAUUAUGUGAUUAGUUAUUUGGAAAUAAUUUACUGGAAAAGAGGAAAAAAGAUAAACAAAGUUGGAGUGAGAGGGUUGGAAAUGGGCAGAGGAGAUGAAAUGCUAGGUAGGACGAUAGAAACACAAGAAAGCAAGAAGAACUGACCUAUCAGCACAAAUGCAAACAAAAACACAAGAUGAUAAAAUGGAAAGUAAAAAGAUAAUUUUGUGUUGUUCACCAGUCAUUUCUGUGCAGCUUUUGCCAUGCAGGUGUAACCCCCAUAAACUAUGUUGAUCUGUCUGUAUGUUUAAUGUGUUUGUUUGUUAGUUCUUAGAAUGUCCUGUAGGGGGCACUAGACCCACGUUUCUCCUGUGUUGGUACGAGAAGAAGAGGGAAGAAGAAAAAAGAAAUGGCAGUCUAAGCACAUUUCAGCAGAAGUAGAUAAGUUACUACGCAUAAGUGCUGCUGUGAUAUGAGAGAAAUCUGUUUAUUUUGAACUGGAUAAUGUACAUUCUGUUCUGAGAGUUCUCCGGUUGUUUUUUUUUUUUGGACGACCGAUACCUGAACGAUCCAGUGGUUCCAGAACCAGGAGGGUUCCACCGCCAUCUUUGUGACUCGGACUGAAGCCGGGAAAGACGGAGGGACUGGUGCUGCUGGAGCUGGAUGUUUUGCGUGGACAACAGAUAAGCUUAUUGAACAAAAAGGGGGGCCCAAAUCUUUUUUUUUUUAUUCCACAAACUAUUUGUUCAUGAACAUUUUCAUAACGGACAACUUAUGUGCACAUUGACUGAACUGACUGACCGAACUGUUAUAUUCAAGGACUAACUGGAAUAUGUCAUUUCUUUUGUUGAAAUAAGCUUUAAAACUACUGUUUAAAAAA
Molecule: long non-coding RNA, 1049 nt
Organism: Xiphophorus hellerii (green swordtail)
Lineage: Eukaryota; Metazoa; Chordata; Actinopteri; Cyprinodontiformes; Poeciliidae
Exons: 2
Source: RefSeq, a predicted model, not a curated record